RNAcentral lists this transfer RNA (76 nucleotides) under Escherichia coli. RNAcentral's name for it is "tRNA-Lys". It matches the Rfam family "tRNA". Rfam says of the family: Transfer RNA (tRNA) molecules are approximately 80 nucleotides in length. Their secondary structure includes four short double-helical elements and three loops (D, anti-codon, and T loops). The record is from RNAcentral. RNAcentral also lists the same sequence under 5 other names. Lineage: Bacteria; Pseudomonadati; Pseudomonadota; Gammaproteobacteria; Enterobacterales; Enterobacteriaceae.
GGGUCGUUAGCUCAGUUGGUAGAGCAGUUGACUUUUAAUCAAUUGGUCGCAGGUUCGAAUCCUGAACGACCCACCA